RNAcentral lists this ribosomal RNA (393 nucleotides) under uncultured bacterium. Its description in RNAcentral is "partial 16S ribosomal RNA". It matches the Rfam family "Bacterial small subunit ribosomal RNA", at positions 523 to 918 of the family's 1533-position model. The record is from RNAcentral.
AUACGGAGGAUGCAAGCGUUAUCCGGAUUUAUUGGGUUUAAAGGGUGCGUAGGCGGGACUGUAAGUCAGAAGUGAAAUUCCUGAGCUCAACUCGGGCGCUGCUUCUGAAACUGCAGGACUUGAGUGCUGGAGGGGAUAGCGGAAUUCCUAGUGGAGCGGUAAAAUGCGCAGAUAUUAGGAAGAACACCGGUGGCGAAGGCGGCUAUCUGGACAGUAACUGACGCUGAGGCGCGAAAGCGUGGGGAGCAAACAGGAUUAGAUACCCUGGUAGUCCACGCUGUAAACGAUGAAUGCUAGGUGUGGGGACGUAAGUUUCCGUGCCGGAGUUAACACAAUAAGCAUUCCACCUGGGGAGUACGGCCGCAAGGUUGAAACUCAAAUGAAUUGACGGGG